UCGAACCUAAUCCAAAGGAUACUGUGAACGCGUAUACACAUGCGGUGCGUGGGGACUUUAACCGGUUGUCACGCUCGCUAGUCCGUAAGGGUCAUGUGCAYAAUGAGUGCACACUCAUUARGCUGUACGUGGUUCUGUCGGAAAUUCACAAAACCCCGGCGCAGAUAGCGUCAAGGACCAUUCAACGAAACAGCUCACCCUGAAUGCAGCCUUUUAGGUUUGUAUUCGUGUGUGUUGCUGCGAUCAUAAGUCUAAAACGACUCUCGGCAACGRAUAUCUCGGCUCUCGCAUCGAUGAAGAACGUAGCGAAAUGCGAUACUUGGUGUGAAUUGCAGAAUCCCGUGAACCAUCGAGUUUUUGAACGCAAGUUGCGCCCUAAGCCGUCAGGCCGAGGCACGCUUGCCUGGGUGUCACGCAUCGUCAUCUCCCCCACCCGUCUAAGCUUUGCUUGGGUGAUUACGGAGAAGGAGAUUGGUCUCCCGUGUGUUACCGCACGCGGUUGGCCUAAAAUCGAGACAAGGGGCGCGASACCUUGAUGAGCGGGUGGUGUGUAGAUGCCUCGUGCGAAUGCAGUUGCUUUCGUCCCGAUUGAGUCUAUGACCCUUUAAGUGUCGUUGCGCGAUUCUUGAACGCGACCCAGGUCAGUGGA
This 649-nucleotide ribosomal RNA is filed under the name Tarenaya titubans. Its description in RNAcentral is "eukaryotic LSU rRNA". The stretch from base 259 to 413 matches the Rfam family "5.8S ribosomal RNA". The record is from RNAcentral. Lineage: Eukaryota; Viridiplantae; Streptophyta; Magnoliopsida; Brassicales; Cleomaceae.